Molecule: ribosomal RNA, 492 nt
Filed under: uncultured bacterium
Lineage: Bacteria
Description: partial 16S ribosomal RNA
Rfam family: Bacterial small subunit ribosomal RNA
Source: RNAcentral
AGUGAACGCUGGCGGUAGGCCUAACACAUGCAAGUCGAACGGCAGCACAGUAAGAGCUUGCUCUUACGGGUGGCGAGUGGCGGACGGGUGAGGAAUACAUCGGAAUCUACUUUUUCGUGGGGGAUAACGUAGGGAAACUUACGCUAAUACCGCAUACGACCUACGGGUGAAAGCAGGGGAUCUUCGGACCUUGCGCGAUUGAAUGAGCCGAUGUCGGAUUAGCUAGUUGGCGGGGUAAAGGCCCACCAAGGCGACGAUCCGUAGCUGGUCUGAGAGGAUGACCGGCCACACGGGAACUGGGCCACGGUCCCGACUCUGACGGGAGGCAGCGGUGGGGAAUAUUGGACAAUGGGGGCAAGCCUGAUCCAGCCAUACCGGGUGGGUGAAGAGGGCCUUCGGGUGGUAAAGCCCUUUUGUUGGGAAAAAAAGCAGCAGGUUAAUACCCCGCGGUUCUGACGGUACCCAAAGAAUAAGCACCGGCUAACUUCGUGC